This 104-nucleotide microRNA precursor is filed under the name Marmota monax (woodchuck). The record is from RNAcentral. Lineage: Eukaryota; Metazoa; Chordata; Mammalia; Rodentia; Sciuridae.
AGUGGGAUAGCUGGGUCAAAGGGUAGUUCCAAUUCCAAGUAUUUUGAGUAAUCUCCAUACUGCUUUCCAUAGUGGUUGUACUAAUUUGCAGUCCCACCAGCAAU